UGUGUGUGUGUGUGUGUGUGUGUGUGUGUGUGUGUGUGUGUGUGUGUGUGUGUAUGUGUGUGUGUGUGUGUGUGUGUGUGUGUGUGUGGGUGUGUGUGUGUGUGUGUGUGUGUGUGUGUAGGGGCCCAAUACAUCGUUGUCUCCCAGCUACAUGGGGGCCCCGUCAGCAUCUGUUCAAGGUGAACCUCUAGCACAGCAUGCGUUAGAGAAAGAGAGGGAUAAAAGUGAGAUGGAGAGAGGCCUUUUUUGGUAAAACUUCAUGACACAUUGCGAAUUAGUUUUAGUAAAACUAGAUUUGACAAGUCUUAGUUGUAAUAUUAUUACCUUGCGUUAUUAAAGCUAUUCCAUUUAGUUAAAGUCAAACCAAGCCCUGUUAUAUCAUUGGAAAAACAGGCUUUAUCAUAACCUAAUAUUCACAUUCAAGGUUUACCCUAGAUUUCACAAAGUACCUAAAAACUGUGAUGUAUUCUGACCCUUGCUCUCACUAUCUAUUCCAUUCCUUCUCAACCUAAAAUGUGUUGCAUUCUAAAAGUAAAGACAGAGAGACAGAGGAAGAGAGACGUAUAGAAAGAGUGGAGGCGAUGUGCGUGGUGAGUUGGGCUCAGACAGAUCCCAGACAUCCAGCCACGCAUGCUUAAUCCUGCAGACUUUCCUGCCAUCCACCGUGUCUAAGUACCCCUGGAGUUCCCAGAAGGAAUGGUGAGCAGCUAACAUCUGCUGUCCCCUGCAGUUCCUCCUGAAACGUGCGGUGGAGGGCCAACAGCCGCUCUGAGAGUGAACAAUCCCACAUCAAUAAUACUGGAUGCAAUACUUAAACCAUUCUUUGUGUUUACCAUAGUGCCAUCUCCAUCUUCCUGCUACUACACCUGCCAUGAGCGUCUGAGAAUAGCAAACAGCCUUAAACCAAACAACCUUGAAACAACAAACACGAAAGCUUGUCAUAUGCUCACCCAAUGAAGCUUCUAUUGGAGACCAGAAAGCUCUUUUGGUCAAGUCCUUCCAUUUUUUUUUAUAUAUUUAUUUUGCUAUGCAAGUUUGCUUGUUAAUGACAGGUCUGUUGUCAAGGUGACUGAAUGAGGGAUGAGAAGCUGAUUAAGCGUACCAAGGGGUCCUGUGCACAUUUGUAACCACUGACUUUUUAUGUAUUUAUAUACUGUGUGUGUGUCAUUGAAAGCAGUUAACCAAGGCGCAUGGAUAACCGAGCAGAAUAAACUACAGUGGAUGUGUAAUGUACAAUCAAAGGCCCAAUCCCAUUCCUACCCCUUACCCCUUCCCUUUACCCCUUCAAAACAAGGGGGAGGGGUAAGGGGUAGAAAUGGGAUUGGGCCAAAGUCUGUGUUGAAGCAUUUCAUGUUCAUGGGACAUAAGGUUGUCUCUGAGGGCUAGCAUGAGUCAAUGAUAUCAACCACACGCCCAAGGUAUAUACUGUUUCUAAAUGUGUCUAUGUAUCAGAAAAACAAUAAAAUAUACAAUAUUUUCAAUGCAA
Molecule: long non-coding RNA, 1486 nt
Organism: Gadus macrocephalus (Pacific cod)
Lineage: Eukaryota; Metazoa; Chordata; Actinopteri; Gadiformes; Gadidae
Exons: 2
Source: RefSeq, a predicted model, not a curated record